GAAGGGGUUAUUUGGCUGCAAGUGGAAACUCGUAGUUGGAGUUCUACCGAAGCAGGUUUACCAGCUUUAUGAGCAUGCCUGACCGUAGCUAUCGGCCCAAGCUGCUGCGUGCUUCGGUGCUUCCUUGCGCCGGAAACCGGGGGCUCAGCUACUUUGAGGAAAUCAGAGCGAUUAUUGCGGGCCUGCGCCUUGUAUAGCUUACCAUGGUAUGGCGAUUGAGGAACUUCAACUUAUUGUUGGUUAAAGGUUGAUGUGUGAGUUUAAUAGGAGCAAUUGGGGGUGAUUGUAUUAUCGUGUCAGAGGUGGAAUUCUUGGAUUACGUUACGACAUUCGACUGCGAAAGCAUUCACCAACGAUGUUUUCAUUGAUCAAGAACGAAAGUAUGGGGAUCGAAGAUGAUUAGAUCCCGUCGUAGUCUAUACCAUAAACCAAGCCUUCUAGGAGUCAGGGAAAUACCUUUUCGGUGGCUUCUCUGGCGCCUUGCGAGAAAUCAGACUCUUUGGGUUCCGGGGGGAGGAUGGAUGCAAGACUGAAUCUUAAAUGAAUUGACCGAAGAGCACCACCUGGAGUGGAGCCUGCGCCUCAAUUUGACUCAACACGGGGGAAACUCACCAGGCCCUGCCAUAAGUGGGGAUUGACACAUUGGUCGGUCGCUGAGAGUUUAUGGGGUGGUGAUGCAUGACCGUUCCUGCUGGUGGAGUGAAUUGGCGGGCUAGUUCCGGCAGGAAAAGAAGCCCAGGGAAACAAAUAGCGAGCCUCCAACAAGCCGCGGUUGAGUGUGGUAAGAACUCUGAGGAAAAAAGAAC
RNAcentral lists this ribosomal RNA (806 nucleotides) under uncultured eukaryote. RNAcentral describes it as "bacterial SSU rRNA". It matches the Rfam family "Eukaryotic small subunit ribosomal RNA", at positions 598 to 1404 of the family's 1831-position model. The record is from RNAcentral.